RNAcentral lists this ribosomal RNA (473 nucleotides) under uncultured bacterium. Its description in RNAcentral is "bacterial SSU rRNA". It matches the Rfam family "Bacterial small subunit ribosomal RNA", at positions 355 to 825 of the family's 1533-position model. The record is from RNAcentral.
UGGGGAAUAUUGCGCAAUGGGCGAAAGCCUGACGCAGCAACGCCGCGUGAGUGAUGAAGGCCUUCGGGUCGUAAAGCUCUGUCGGAGGGAACGAAUGCUCUUGAGGUUAACAGCCUCGGGAGGUGACGGUACCCUCAAAGGAAGCACCGGCUAACUCUGUGCCAGCAGCCGCGGUAAUACAGAGGGUGCAAGCGUUGUUCGGAAUCAUUGGGCGUAAAGGGCGUGUAGGCGGUAUGUUAAGUCAUGUGUGAAAUCCCUCGGCUCAACCGGGGAACGACGCAUGAAACUAGCAAGCUAGAGUACCAAAGAGGGUGGUGGAAUUCCCGGUGUAGCAGUGAAAUGCGUAGAGAUGUGGAGGAACACCGAUGGCGAAGGCAGCCCCCUGGGCCAACACUGACGCUCAGGCACGAAAGCGUGGGGAGCAAACAGGAUUAGAUACCCAUGUAGUCCCUGAGCGGGCUGGCAAGGCGCAU